CUAUUUUUUUAUUUUUUUUUCAUGUUUCAAUUUGUUUUUCAAUUCAAUUGUCAAUGCUAUUUGCUUUUUACUAACCUAUGUUUGUUGUUUUUUAUAGUAUACGAACAUAAAAAAGCCUCCAAACCUCCAAAGAAACCAGCAAGAUUCUUUAAAAAAAAUCACAAGAGAGAAACUCUGCAGGUUUUGAAAAUCGCUGUGAGCAGAGUUACUGAGCUGCUUAGGUUCCUUUCCUCCUUCAACAAACAUCCAGGCCCUUAACAACCCAUCAGUGCUGAAGGGGUGGCAAUCGGAUGGUGGGGAUCCUUGUGAAGAGUCAUGGGAUGGAGUUUCAUGUGCUGGUUCCUCUGUGAUAUACCUCAAACUUCGUAGUCUGACCCGUUUUGGAUAUAUUCCUGAGGAGCUCCAUACGCUGUUCAAUUUAAAGCACCU
Pyrus x bretschneideri (Chinese white pear) is the source of this 429-nucleotide long non-coding RNA. RefSeq lists it as uncharacterized. Lineage: Eukaryota; Viridiplantae; Streptophyta; Magnoliopsida; Rosales; Rosaceae. The transcript is spliced from 3 exons. The record is from RefSeq and is a predicted model, not a curated record.